UGCAGUCGAGCGGAUGACAGGAGCUUGCUCCUGGAUUCAGCGGCGGACGGGUGAGUAAUGCCUAGGAAUCUGCCUGGUAGUGGGGGACAACGUUUCGAAAGGAACGCUAAUACCGCAUACGUCCUACGGGAGAAAGCAGGGGACCUUCGGGCCUUGCGCUAUCAGAUGAGCCUAGGUCGGAUUAGCUAGUUGGUGAGGUAAUGGCUCACCAAGGCGACGAUCCGUAACUGGUCUGAGAGGAUGAUCAGUCACACUGGAACUGAGACACGGUCCAGACUCCUACGGGAGGCAGCAGUGGGGAAUAUUGGACAAUGGGCGAAAGCCUGAUCCAGCCAUGCCGCGUGUGUGAAGAAGGUCUUCGGAUUGUAAAGCACUUUAAGUUGGGAGGAAGGGCAGUAAAUUAAUACUUUGCUGUUUUGACGUUACCGACAGAAUAAGCACCGGCUAACUCUGUGCCAGCAGCCGCGGUAAUACAGAGGGUGCAAGCGUUAAUCGGAAUUACUGGGCGUAAAGCGCGCGUAGGUGGUUCGUUAAGUUGGAUGUGAAAUCCCCGGGCUCAACCUGGGAACUGCAUUCAAAAACUGUCGAGCUAGAGUAUGGUAGAGGGUGGUGGAAUUUCCUGUGUAGCGGUGAAAUUGCGUAGAUAUAAGGAAGGAACACCCAGUGGCCGAAGGCGACCACCCUGGGACUGGAUACUUGACACUUGAAGGUGCGAAAAGCGUGGGGAGCAAAACAGGAUUAAGAUACCCUGGUAAGUCCCACCGCGUAAAACCGAUGUCAACUUAAGCCCGUUUGGGGAAGCC
This 803-nucleotide ribosomal RNA is filed under the name Pseudomonas baetica. RNAcentral describes it as "bacterial SSU rRNA". It matches the Rfam family "Bacterial small subunit ribosomal RNA", at positions 56 to 837 of the family's 1533-position model. The record is from RNAcentral. Lineage: Bacteria; Pseudomonadati; Pseudomonadota; Gammaproteobacteria; Pseudomonadales; Pseudomonadaceae.